CAAAAGAAUAGGAGAAUUUUUUAAUAUUGCUCUUGCUAUUGCAAUUCUCUGUUUCUGUCCACCUGAUAGUUGGAGACCCCUUUGCCCUACCUAGAGUAGGACAUUUUAACAAGAAAGCUAAUUCAGCAUGCCUCAAUUUUUUCAUGGAAGCUUUGUUAUACAAGAAUUGACACAGAAUAGGAGGAUUUUUUAAUAUUGCUCUUGCUAUUGCAAUUCUCUGUUUCCGUCCACCUGAUAGUUGGAGACCCCUUUGCCCUACCUAGAGUAGGACAUUUUAACAAGAAAGCUAAUUCAGCAUGCCUCAAUUUUUUCAUGGAAGCUUUGCUAUACAAGAAUUGACACAUAGUUUUGAAUGUACUUUGGUCAUGCUACAACUACUUCCUUUUGACUUAUCAUGCUUAGAGGAUGACAGAGGAGCAGUAAAAUAUUUUAGCUAUUAGAGGCGGAAGAGUUUAGAAUCUUCAGUUUAGGGUAUUUGGCUCUUGAUUUCCUAUAGUAUUAAUUAGUAAAUUUUUAUUCUUAAUUGUAUUCUGCCGGUAGUUUUCAAUUUACUAUUUUAGGGGCUUUCUUACGUAAGCAACCCUCGUUUAUCAUCAAAUUGUUAUAUCUUAUGUCACUUAGUACUUUUAGUAUGGGAUGUAGUAGCCUGCUGCUCUUGUUUGCCUUCUUUCAUUUUCUUUCUGUGCCAUACUGGCAAAUUGAAUAAGCAACAGCACUUUCAGGUGAUCUUAACAAAUGCUUUCUUGAGGAAAUGAUUAUACUGCAGGCUGCAGCUGAAAUUGGUGUUCAUGGAAUUAUAUGGUUCACUUGAAUAGUAUAUCUACUGUGAGAGUUGGAAAGCAAUGUAUUCUCAUUCUUCUACUUUAACAAUCUCUUAUGUUCAAUGUUUCGAAAAGGAUUUUCCAGGUAAGUCAUUUUGCCUUGGAAUCAGGUAAAGGCACAAGACUUGCUAGGUGCACACUUUUUUCUUCUUCCAGGUGUUCUCAAUCCUUAGAUGUGCCUUUCGCCUUUCGGUCUCCUUUUUAUUUCUAGAGGUGGAGAAGCAGAAAACCUUCUUUCUUAGAUAAUGAGUAUAAUAAUUAUUAUUAUUAAUUUUGACAGUGAGGAGGUGUGUGGUUGACUGUAGCAGGAGUUAGGAGAGGUAGAGGUAGGCCGAAGAAGAACUGGCAGAGGUGAUUGGACAAAACAUGGCAGGACUUCAGCUGACUGAGGACAUGGACUUAGAUAGGAAGGUAUGGAGGUCGAGGAUUAGUGUAUAAGGUAAGUAGGUAGUUGAGUGUUGUUGUACUUCUAGUAGUAUGAUUUAGUUAUCACGUAGUUUCUUUUUUUUUUUCCAAUGUGUAUUAAUAUUUGUACCUGCACUUGUUUUGUACAUUGCUAUUUUGUUAUCUCUUUUUCUUUCUUACUUUGUUGCAUCGGUUAAAUUUCUUUUGAGCCGAGGAUCUAUCGGAAACAACUUCUCUAUUUCACAAAGGUAGAGGUAAAGGUCUGCGUACAUCCUUUCCUCCCCAGACCCCACUUGUGGAAUUGCACUGAGUAUGUUGUUGUAUUAUUAUUAAUUAUUAAUUUUCCUGUUCCUUCCGGCAUUGUUCUGCCCAUAACUCCAUGACUAUAGAAAAUCUAAUCAUUCAUUCUAUUGAAAAUAUAAGGAACGGAAUACCACAAACUGUGUAGACGGUUAUAUUUCUUUUGUUUUUUCUUUAUAGAAUUAGCCUAAUGAAACAGUUGGUCAUGUAUAUGAGUGAUAGUGGUCUGACCUCUGUUAGAUAUUGAUCUGGUAGCUGGGAUAUGAAAGAAUGUGCAUUUGCCAACAAGGCAGCUCUUUCAAUCUGUUGAUCAUUCGCGCCAAUGUUUCCCAUCUUAAUGUUUUCUUUGAUGCUGCCAGAAAAUAGGGAUGGCUCCUGGGAAACUACUCCUAUGUUUCUCCUAAGAAACUUCAAAUCAAGAUCUUUGAUGUUGUGGUUGUCAAGGAGAAUCUCACCUGAUGAUUUUCAUACUGAUAGGGACAUGAUGGUGCUUUUACCACACCCGCUACUUCCAACAAUUGCCACUACUUUUCCUGCUGGAAUUGACAAAGAAAACCCUUGAAGAACUAACUUCUCCUGCCGUGAUGGAUAAGCGAAGUGUACAUCCCGUAUGUUGAUAUUGCCAUCUAUUUCUUCAAAUGUCAUCCCUCCGGAGUCGGCAUUUAUUGUGGGUUUUCUGUCAAUCAUCUGGAAAACUUCCUUUCCUGCUGCUUUUGCUUGAUUGAAGAUUUGUAUAUCUGGUGCAGCAUAUGUAAGUGAUCUGAAAUUUGAAAAAGAAAAAGAAAAACUCAUCCGGUUGCUGUUUUUAAGGUACUUGAGUUUCUUCUUCAUAAUAUGAAGAAUCUGUUGAAGAAUAUGAGGUUUUUGCUCUUACAUUGCUCCAAACAGAAUACUCAUAACUGCAGCUAUGACAUCUCCUCCUGUUGAUCUCUUGGCUGUUACAACAACAGCUCCCACCCAUACAAUUAGAGCCCACGAAGCGAAAGUUAUAGUCUGGAACGUGCCUGUUCCAAGACCUUUUAUAAAUGCUUCUUUCUUGCUUAACUUCAUUUGUCUUUCUAUGCAAUCUGAGAAGGAUUUGAUUGAUAAAUUUUCUCCAACAAAAGCAAAUACAGUUCUGAUCUGGGAGAUCGUCUGUCAUAGAGCAUCAGAUAUGCAGUAUGAAUAAAUUGUCUUUUGAUAUUGCAAAAUAAGAUUGGCAAUUGAAUUAUGCGGUAUAACAUGAUAUUGUUAAUGCAGAAAUUGCUAUAACUUGUUACCUCUUCUACCAUUGAUGUGGCCUCUGACAGGUUUGCCAUUUUUAUAUUCGAAAUCUUACUCAUUCUCUUUGUGUAGCUGGCGCCAGUUAACAUUAUCAAUGGAACAACUAUUAAGGAUAGGAGAGACACUUCCCAGCAGGAUACGAAUGCAAUUAAUACUCCAGAACCAAACGUUGCAAUGCAUGAUAGAAAAUGUCCCAACUGUCACGUGAAAAGAAGAUUUCUUAGGGAUGAGCUUUUGUACCUUCUCUCCAAUGGUGUCCUGUAUGAGUGACAUGUGGUUGCCUAUACCUAUCCGAACCAAUAAAGGAUCAAUUAAAUAUGGCGAAGCAGAAUUCUAAGAAGGAGAAGGAGAAGAAGGAUGUAUCUUCUUCUUUCAAAAGAAAUGUGGAAAAAAAACCCAAAAAGGGUAGAAAAAUUGGAUCCCAGAUUUCUCG
Long non-coding RNA from Solanum dulcamara, 3222 nucleotides. RefSeq lists it as uncharacterized. The record is from RefSeq and is a predicted model, not a curated record. NCBI's taxonomy places the organism in Eukaryota, Viridiplantae, Streptophyta, Magnoliopsida, Solanales, Solanaceae. The transcript is spliced from 4 exons.